Molecule: long non-coding RNA, 1000 nt
Organism: Rhopalosiphum padi (bird cherry-oat aphid)
Lineage: Eukaryota; Metazoa; Arthropoda; Insecta; Hemiptera; Aphididae
Exons: 3
Source: RefSeq, a predicted model, not a curated record
CGCAAAGAAGACGAAUGAAGAAAUAAGAGCUAGCUGUUUCUUCGGCGGUGACGAUGCACGUUUGAACUAUAAAUGUGGUACAGCUCGAUUUUGCCGAACAGCGUCGAAGAAUACUUACAAUCAUGAUGAAGAUCGUAUGAAGAAAAUUUGGAGUUUAUUCGGCGGCGGUGCACCACUCCGUAUACACUGUAGAUUGGUACAACUCGGUUUCCCGGGAAGAGUCGACGCUUAAAUCUUGCCAUAAUAUCGGAAAAACAAAAAAACUGAAAUAAUUACGCUAUAUCCUUAUAUAAUGUCAACCCGGAGGACAAUUGGCAGUAUCAUUAGGAAGCUGAUGAAUAACAAAAAAAAGUGUCGCAGGGCCGUGUUUGUUUAAUACUAUAAUUUUUUGAACAGUAGUACAGUAUAUUAUGAAUAUUUACUUAAAUUAUAUUUAAUUUUUAUGGUUUUUUUCAGAUAAUAUACUGUACUACGGUUUUAGGUGUUCUUUUUAUUUUAAAAAUACAUUGAAAAAUUACCAAUUUUUUCAAUUUUUUUUCUUAUCACAAAGCAAGUUCGUUUUUGUGUAUGUUUAAAUUUAUAUUUUUUAUAGUUAUUGUGCUGUUUAACUUUCUUAUAAAAGAGAGUGAGAAAUUAAAAAGGUGGCCACCGAACAGAAAGUUAAACUGCAAUAUACUAUAAUUUUUUUAGUUCUUGUUUACAUUUUUAACUGAUAAAUUAUGAAUAUAAAAUUUAAUUUAAAUUCAAAAAUAAAAGAACACCAACAUAGAUAUCUUAAACAUUGAAAUUUUACUAUAAGUUUAAAUUACAUUUAAUCUGCACAUUAUUUGAAGUUUUAUAGGAUCGGAACAUUUAACUGGAUCAUGGACGACUAUCCACCGACGAAGAAUUUGUCAUAGAGCUGAUGGAAAAUGUGUCGGCACUCGGCUUCGUUUCAACACGGAGGACGUCUGGCAGCAGCAAAAAGAUAUUCAAUUGACGAUAAUCAACUGUCGAAAGG